Molecule: signal recognition particle RNA, 265 nt
Filed under: Chloroflexota bacterium
Lineage: Bacteria; Bacillati; Chloroflexota
Description: signal recognition particle sRNA large type
Rfam family: Bacterial large signal recognition particle RNA
About the family: The signal recognition particle (SRP) is a universally conserved ribonucleoprotein involved in the co-translational targeting of proteins to membranes. Archaeal SRP consists of a 7S RNA and homologues of the eukaryotic SRP19 and SRP54 proteins. In most bacteria, the SRP consists of a 4.5S RNA and the Ffh protein (a homologue of the eukaryotic SRP54 protein).
Source: RNAcentral
CCGUGCUAGACGGGGAGCUAGCGGUGCCCUUGACCCGCAAUCCGCUAUAGCGGGGUGUAAUUCCUCCCCUAGGCCAAACCUGUUGGGCCGCUGCCCAGGGUGAGCAGUGUUGAUGACCGGGUCCCACGCGGCGCAGGCUUGUGAACCCCGCCAGGUCCGAGAGGAAGCAACGGUAAACAGGUCCCUGCGGGUGCCGUGGGAACGCCUGGUCUGAGUUGUUGCCCCGGGGAUGUCCAUAGGGUUUUCGUCAACGGGGGGUGCGCGG